UGGGGAAUUUUGGACAAUGGGCGCAAGCCUGAUCCAGCCAUGCCGCGUGCAGGAUGAAGGCCUUCGGGUUGUAAACUGCUUUUGUACGGAACGAAAAAACUCUGGCUAAUACCAUGGGGUCCAUGACGGUACCGUAAGAAUAAGCACCGGCUAACUACG
This 159-nucleotide ribosomal RNA is filed under the name uncultured bacterium. RNAcentral describes it as "partial 16S ribosomal RNA". It matches the Rfam family "Bacterial small subunit ribosomal RNA", at positions 355 to 505 of the family's 1533-position model. The record is from RNAcentral.